RNAcentral lists this ribosomal RNA (468 nucleotides) under uncultured bacterium. RNAcentral describes it as "partial 16S ribosomal RNA". It matches the Rfam family "Bacterial small subunit ribosomal RNA", at positions 28 to 507 of the family's 1533-position model. The record is from RNAcentral.
GACGAACGCUGGCGGCGUGCUUAACACAUGCAAGUCGAACGGAAAGGCCCUGCUUUUGCGGGGUGCUCGAGUGGCGAACGGGUGAGUAACACGUGAGUAACCUGCCCUUGAAUUUGGGAUAACUUUAGGAAACUGGGGCUAAUACCGGAUAGGAGCUCUUGCUGCAUGGUGGGGGUUGGAAAGUUUCGGCGGUUGGGGCUGGAAUCGCGGCUUAUCCGCUUGUUGGUGGGGUAGUGGCUUACCAAGGGUUUGACGGGUAGCCGGCCUGAGAGGGUGACCGGCCACAAUGGGACUGAGGUACGGACCAGACGGCUACGGGAGGCAGCGGUGGGGAGUAUUGCACAAUAAGCGGAAGCCUGAUACAACGACGCCGCGUGCGGGAUGACGGCCUUCGAGUUAUAAACCGCUUUCGACUGUGACGAGGCGUGAGUGACGGUAAUGAGUAAGAAAGCACCGGCUAACUACGUG